ACCCCAGGUAGCGCUGGAUUCCCAGUUCCUGUAAAGGUAGAAAGGGAAAAGUUGAGAGGUUUUUGCGAGCCCGUGGGAGCGGAUUGAAAGAACGCCCUGGCUCUACUGAAAAGAAGAUAUUCCUGUUCUAACCGUUCUAAGCGAGGAGGAGAGUGGAAAGCAUCUAACUGCCUUGCCUGGGAGUUUGCUCCAGUGGCUUGAGAAGCAGACACUACGGUUAGGAGAAUGUGCUGAGGAUUGUUUAUUUUCUACUGCAGUUGGUCCGCCUAUUGCUCCGCCCCCAACCAGCCACUCAUUGGUGAAGACUAAAGAAUGACGUCCUCUUUGGUGGACAUAACAUCUUUGUUUGUAUGUGGUGCUGAGGAUCGAACCCGGGCCGCACGCAUGCCAGGCACCCAACUUGUAAAAAUUAACAUGUGCAAGAUGACACCAUGCUGUUUGUAAUAGGAAAGGACUGGAAACAACAAAAAUGUUCAUCAGCCCUGAGUUCAAUCCCCAGCACACACACACACACAAAAAAAAAAAAAAAUUCAGGAG
Long non-coding RNA from Marmota monax (woodchuck), 537 nucleotides. RefSeq lists it as uncharacterized. The transcript has 3 exons. Lineage: Eukaryota; Metazoa; Chordata; Mammalia; Rodentia; Sciuridae. The record is from RefSeq and is a predicted model, not a curated record.